This 530-nucleotide ribosomal RNA is filed under the name uncultured Cryobacterium sp. Its description in RNAcentral is "bacterial SSU rRNA". It matches the Rfam family "Bacterial small subunit ribosomal RNA", at positions 349 to 873 of the family's 1533-position model. The record is from RNAcentral. Lineage: Bacteria; Bacillati; Actinomycetota; Actinomycetes; Micrococcales; Microbacteriaceae.
UAGCAGUGGGGAAUAUUGCACAAUGGGCGCAAGCCUGAUGCAGCAACGCCGCGUGAGGGACGAAGGCCUUCGGGUUGUAAACCUCUUUUAGUAGGGAAGAAGCGACUGGGUUUUCCUGGGAGUGACGGUACCUGCAGAAAAAGCACCGGCUAACUACGUGCCAGCAGCCGCGGUAAUACGUAGGGUGCAAGCGUUGUCCGGAAUUAUUGGGCGUAAAGAGCUCGUAGGCGGUUUGUCGCGUCUGCUGUGAAAACCCGAGGCUCAGCCUCGGGCCUGCAGUGGGUACGGGCAGACUAGAGUGCGGUAGGGGAGAUUGGAAUUCCUGGUGUAGCGGUGGAAUGCGCAGAUAUCAGGAGGAACACCAAUGGCGAAGGCAGAUCUCUGGGCCGUAACUGACGCUGAGGAGCGAAAGCAUGGGGAGCGAACAGGAUUAGAUACCCUGGUAGUCCAUGCCGUAAACGUUGGGAACUAGAUGUGGGGACCAUUCCACGGUCUCCGUGUCGCAGCUAACGCAUUAAGUUCCACCGCCC